Molecule: ribosomal RNA, 280 nt
Filed under: uncultured bacterium
Lineage: Bacteria
Description: partial 16S ribosomal RNA
Rfam family: Bacterial small subunit ribosomal RNA
Source: RNAcentral
UGCCAGCCGCCGCGGUAACACGGGGGGCGCAAGCGUUAUUCGGAAUUAUUGGGCGUAAAGGGCGCGCAGGCGGUCUUGUCCGUCAGGCGUGAAAACCCGGGGCUCAACCCCGCGGAAUGCAGACGAUACUGGCAGACUGGAGAUCGGUAGAGGCUAGCGGAAUUCCAGGUGUAGCGGUGGAAUGCGUAGAUAUCUGGAAGAACACCUGUGGCGAAGGCGGCUAGCUGGGCCGAGUCUGACACUCAUCCGCGAAAGCGUGGGGAGCAAACAGGAUUAGAUA